UGCCAGCAGCCGCGGUAAUACGAAGGGGGCUAGCGUUGUUCGGAAUCACUGGGCGUAAAGCGCACGUAGGCUGACUGGUCAGUUGGGGGUGAAAUCCCACGGCCCAACCGUGGAACGGCCUCUGAUACUGAGUGGCUUGAGUGUGCUAGGGGUAAGCGGAACGUGUAGUGUAGCGGUGAAAUGCGUAGAUAUUACACGGAAGGCCGGAGGCGAAGGCGGCUUACUGGGGCACAACUGACGCUGAGGAACGAAAGCGUGGGGAGCAAACAGGAUUAGAUA
RNAcentral lists this ribosomal RNA (279 nucleotides) under uncultured bacterium. Its description in RNAcentral is "partial 16S ribosomal RNA". It matches the Rfam family "Bacterial small subunit ribosomal RNA", at positions 506 to 784 of the family's 1533-position model. The record is from RNAcentral.